This 550-nucleotide ribosomal RNA is filed under the name uncultured bacterium. RNAcentral describes it as "bacterial SSU rRNA". It matches the Rfam family "Bacterial small subunit ribosomal RNA", at positions 355 to 896 of the family's 1533-position model. The record is from RNAcentral.
UGGGGAAUCUUCCGCAAUGGACGAAAGUCUGACGGAGCAACGCCGCGUGAGUGAUGACGGCCUUCGGGUUGUAAAGCUCUGUUAAUCGGGACGAAUGGCUACCAUGCGAAUAGUUUGGCAGUUUGACGGUACCGGAAUAGAAAGCCACGGCUAACUACGUGCCAGCAGCCGCGGUAAUACGUAGGUGGCAAGCGUUGUCCGGAAUUAUUGGGCGUAAAGCGCGCGCAGGCGGAUCUGCCAGUCUGUCUUAAAAGUUCGGGGCUCAACCCCGUGAUGGGAUGGAAACUACAGAUCUAGAGUAUCGGAGGGGAAAGUGGAAUUCCUAGUGUAGCGGUGAAAUGCGUAGAUAUUAGGAGGAACACCAGUGGCGAAGGCGACUUUCUGGACGAUCACUGACGCUGAGGCGCGAAAGCCAGGGGAGCGAACGGGAUUAGAUACCCCGGUAGUCCUGGCCGUAAACGAUGGGUACUAGGUGUAGGAGGUAUCGACCCCUUCUGUGCCGUAGUUAACGCAGUAAGUACCCCGCCUGGGGAGUACGGUCGCAAGGUUG